RNAcentral lists this ribosomal RNA (797 nucleotides) under uncultured bacterium. RNAcentral describes it as "bacterial SSU rRNA". It matches the Rfam family "Bacterial small subunit ribosomal RNA", at positions 8 to 796 of the family's 1533-position model. The record is from RNAcentral.
AGAGUUUGAUCCUGGCUCAGAUUGAACGCUGGCGGCAGGCCUAACACAUGCAAGUCGAACGGUAACAGAGAGCAGCUUGCUGCUCUGCUGACGAGUGGCGGACGGGUGAGUAAUGUCUGGGGAUCUGCCCGAUGGAGGGGGAUAACCACUGGAAACGGUGGCUAAUACCGCAUAACGUCGCAAGACCAAAGUGGGGGACCUUCGGCCUCACACCAUCGGAUGAACCCAGAUGGGAUUAGCUAGUAGGUGGGGUAACGGCUCACCUAGGCGACGAUCCCUAGCUGGUCUGAGAGGAUGACCAGCCACACUGGAACUGAGACACGGUCCAGACUCCUACGGGAGGCAGCAGUGGGGAAUAUUGCACAAUGGGCGCAAGCCUGAUGCAGCCAUGCCGCGUGUAUGAAGAAGGCCUUCGGGUUGUAAAGUACUUUCAGCGGGGAGGAAGGGAUGAAGCUUAAUACGCUUCGUCAUUGACGUUACCCGCAGAAGAAGCACCGGCUACUCCGUGCCAGCAGCCGCGGUAAUACGGAGGGUGCAAGCGUUAAUCGGAAUUACUGGGCGUAAAGCGCACGCAGGCGGUCUGUCAAGUCGGAUGUGAAAUCCCCGGGCUCAACCCGGGAACUGCAUUCGAAACUGGCAGGCUAGAGUCUCGUAGAGGGGGGUAGAAUUCCAGGUGUAGCGGUGAAAUGCGUAGAGAUCUGGAGGAAUACCGGUGGCGAAGGCGGCCCCCUGGACGAAGACUGACGCUCAGGUGCGAAAGCGUGGGGAGCAAACAGGAUUAGAUACCCUAGUAGUCC